UCCCACUUGUCAAAAUUUUCCCACUUUUUGCUUCCCCUUGCCGGCCCUUCCCUAUUCCCUCACUGUUUCUCUGAAUAUUUUUCAUUUUCUUCCUCCUUGUGCUGCCCCAUUAAACACCAACUCCCAUUGUAUCAUAUUUUAUUUUAUUGUUGUUUUUUUACUACUAUUAUCACAGCUCUGCAAUCCCUUUUCUUCUCCAUUGUCGAAGUCCCUGUGAGCCACCAUCUUUUUCAUCGAUACCCUUUUGAUUCUCUUCUUCUACUAUUCAUUAUUUUUUUGUCGUCACAGAUCUAAGCAAGUAGAGUAAGUGUAAAAUUUUUACUUUAAUUCUUUCAAAUCUAAAUUUUUCUCUUAUUUUCAUAUUUUGUUAUGGUCGAAUCUUACAAGUUACCUUUUCUUUGGUGUUUGAAUGUUCAAGAUCUAGAUUCAAACCAUACCGAUCAGUCAUAGCAUUGGGAAGUCCAUUUGCAAAGCAGUCAUAAGUUAGUCAAGGUAAGCAUUAAGUUUUUAACUUUAGAUCAGAAGUUUUUGGUUAACAUUUGUUGGUCGAUCGAACCCAAUAAGGGCGUUGGGGGCUGAUUAUUAAUGAUUAAAACUUUAUUUGGUACAGAUCCAAGUUGGAGCUAUCUAGAUUUCAAGCAUAAGAGUUGUGGGAGAGCAAUAAAGUUUGGAUUAGCAUUAAAAAGUGUGGGUCUUCCCCUAUGUCUAAUUAACUUGAAAAUCAUAUAAUGUACACUUAAAUGAUAAAUUUUCUUGUUGGUUUUGGUUUGGUCGAAUGACUUAUGUGGAAAUAAGUGAGGUGUCGAGCAAGGUACGCUAUCAAUUAGAAAGACUGUUUGUUAAAGGUCCUGUUUGGGUAAUGAAAUUGUGUAUUGAAUGCAUGUAUAGCAUGCUAGAUUUUGAAACACCGAUUAAGGUGCAUUUUUAUGCCAUGAUUGAUAUUAAUUAUAUGCAACCAUGUAAGCAUGCCAUUGUUACCGUUAAAUGAAAAAUACGUAAAGCAUACAUCGAAGCCAAAUAUUGGCAUCCCUGUUAAACAUGCCAUUAUAUUACUGAAAGCAUGAUAUGCUACACGAUUGAUAUGUCAUAUUGAAUUGCAUGGGUUUGGGUAUUUGAGGUUGAUGGAGGAGUUCCAUGGAGUAUCGACGGCAUUUAAAGUCAACAAUAUUAUUAUCAGUUCACUGCACCGAAGUACCGAAGAGAUUGGGCGAUUUAUCGCAUUUUACUAGCAGUUUUAUUUGCAAACUAGUACUGGUGGUUUUAACCACGUUGAGCUUCGACUCUCACUCUUUUGGAGUUUGGAUGAUAAGUUUUGGAGAACUCGUGAUAUGUAGCGGAUGGAUGGGUAAGACCAUUGCAUUGUAUCAUUGAGCAUGCCAUAUUCAUAUAUUGUAAUAUCAUGAUAAAUUGUUUGAGUUGUUCAAAUAAUUGUGUGCCUAUUUGACCGAUUGAAUCCUUAUAUUGCUUAAACUCACAUUGGGCUUUUAAAGCUCACCCCCCAAUUUACUCUUUACAAGUAACCCUCAGGAUUUGGCUGGGGCUAGGCAUACGGAGGUCUCAUUUCAGAUUUUCUGGUAAUAAAGUAUUUUUAAUUACUCUAUUUAUUUUGGUAUUAUUAUUUUGGGACUGUAAUUUUUAUUUAAGUACAAACUGUGGAAUGAGAUAUUUUUAAAUUGGGUUUUUGCACGCAUA
RNAcentral lists this long non-coding RNA (1692 nucleotides) under Gossypium barbadense (sea-island cotton). RNAcentral's name for it is "long non-coding RNA (GBAR_LNC014471)". Lineage: Eukaryota; Viridiplantae; Streptophyta; Magnoliopsida; Malvales; Malvaceae. The record is from RNAcentral.